Long non-coding RNA from Carassius carassius (crucian carp), 520 nucleotides. RefSeq lists it as uncharacterized. The record is from RefSeq and is a predicted model, not a curated record. The transcript is spliced from 4 exons. NCBI's taxonomy places the organism in Eukaryota, Metazoa, Chordata, Actinopteri, Cypriniformes, Cyprinidae.
UAAUAAUUAAUCCUGCACCCGCUGCCCUCUGAGCAGGACAUGCCAUGUCUGUCAGCACAGAUCUAAUGCCACAACUCCCAGACAACAGAGACACAGGAAACUAAAGGUUUACCAUUGGCAGGAGCUGCCUCCAUGUCAGGGGACGCAGGCUCUUCCAGGCAUAUAAUCUCCAAACUCAGCCUGCAGUGCUAACGCAGCAAGAAACAAUGCAGUCUCCUCAUUACAGUACACUCUGUCCUCCAGAACGUCCCUCCUCAGCUGGAGAUAGUACUGGUGUUGUCUCGGAGUCCAAAGACAGUCUGCGGGUCUCUCCUGAAGCUCCGUUCUCCUCUGUAUAACCAGGAUAUGGUCCACGCUUACCUGCUCAACAGAGACCUGAUCACUACCGACAUUGUCUUGGAAGACGUCCUCUACCAGUUGUUUGAUGACUUUGUUGGGAGGAGGCAGCAGAGAUGCUUUGUGAUGUGAUUCACACACCUCCAAGAUAGAGUUAAGGUUGUCUCGUCGAUGGGCCAUGUCC